Molecule: ribosomal RNA, 301 nt
Filed under: uncultured bacterium
Lineage: Bacteria
Description: partial 16S ribosomal RNA
Rfam family: Bacterial small subunit ribosomal RNA
Source: RNAcentral
CAGCCGCCACGGUAAUACGAAGGGUGCAAGCGUUAAUCGGAAUUACUGGGCGUAAAGCGUGCGUAGGCGGUUUGUUAAGUCUGCUGUGAAAUCCCCGGGCUUAACCUGGGAACUGCAUUUGUGACUGGCGAGCUAGAGUAUGGCAGAGGGGGGUAGAAUUCCACGUGUAGCAGUGAAAUGCGUAGAGAUGUGGAGGAAUACCGAUGGCGAAGGCAGCCCCCUGGGCCAAUACUGACGCUCAUGCACGAAAGCUAGGGGAGCAAACAGGAUUAGAUACCCCAGUAGUCCCUGUCUCUUAUAC